RNAcentral lists this ribosomal RNA (265 nucleotides) under uncultured archaeon. RNAcentral describes it as "partial 16S ribosomal RNA". It matches the Rfam family "Archaeal small subunit ribosomal RNA", at positions 718 to 982 of the family's 1478-position model. The record is from RNAcentral.
AGUCACUGACAUUAGAUACCCCUGUAGUCCAGGGUGUAAACGCUGCAGACUUGGUGUUGGAGGCCCUUUGGGGGCAUUCAGUGCCGGAGAGAAGUUGUUAAGUCUGCUACUUGGGGAGUACGUCCGCAAGGAUGAAACUUAAAGGAAUUGGCGGGGGAGCACCACAACAGGUGGAGCCUGCGGUUUAAUUGGAUUCAACACCGUAAAACUCACCAGGGAAGACUGUUACAUGAAGGCCGAGAUGAAGACUCUGCUAGAUUUUCAG